AAUAUAAUAGUUCAAAUCCAUGGAUAAAACAUGUUAUUCAAAAUUCAUAUAUAUACUUUUAUGUCAAUAUCAAAAAAAAAUAAAAAAUUGAACUCUCACAUAAAUUUAUACAUAGAAGGUUGAAUAAACCCUCCUAACAUAGUACUCUAUUUAACAUUCUAUGGUUAAUUAGUUUAUAAAAAAACUUGUAAUAUAAUAGGUAAUGUAAUAUUGAUAUGACAUUACCG
This 227-nucleotide long non-coding RNA is filed under the name Capsella rubella. RNAcentral describes it as "long non-coding RNA (CRUB_LNC003466)". The record is from RNAcentral. Lineage: Eukaryota; Viridiplantae; Streptophyta; Magnoliopsida; Brassicales; Brassicaceae.